This 243-nucleotide ribosomal RNA is filed under the name uncultured bacterium. RNAcentral describes it as "partial 16S ribosomal RNA". It matches the Rfam family "Bacterial small subunit ribosomal RNA", at positions 534 to 776 of the family's 1533-position model. The record is from RNAcentral.
GCAAGCGUUGUUCGGAAUUACUGGGCGUAAAGGGCUCGUAGGCGGCCAACUAAGUCAGACGUGAAAUCCCCAGGCUCAACCUGGGAACUGCGUCUGAUACUGGUUGGCUUGAAUCCGGGAGAGGGAUGCAGAAUUCCAGGUGUAGCGGUGAAAUGCGUAGAUAUCUGGAGGAAUACCGGUGGCGAAGGCGGCAUCCUGGACCGGCAUUGACGCUGAGGAGCGAAAGCUAGGGGAGCAAACGGG